UGCAGGCUUAUCGAUCAUAUCCAUAAGCUUUUCAUGCAUGAGAACAAUUCUCAAAUUUCUAUACCAGUCAUCAAAGUUUGGUCCUACCAAUUUUUUGGUCUCAAGUAUUUCACACAGUGAUAUAACAGACAUAUUGAGAAAUCUAAAAUAUAGAAAAGAAAGAGAAAAGCAGUAAUAUAAGAACAUAUUUGCAUAUAUCAUAAAGGCAUGGACCUUUAUCUAAAUGAUAUUUCCACUAAUUAUUUUAAACUAUUUACCCUCAUUAUAGUUUACGAAAUCUUUAUUGCUUUUAGUGGAGUAAAGGAAUCCUUUAACAAUAUUUAUGAGCCCCUUGGUAAUCAAGUCGUUUCUCACUUAUAUUUUAAAGGUAGGUACUCUUACCANNNN
RNAcentral lists this long non-coding RNA (387 nucleotides) under Nicotiana benthamiana. RNAcentral describes it as "long non-coding RNA (NBEN_LNC014135)". The record is from RNAcentral. Lineage: Eukaryota; Viridiplantae; Streptophyta; Magnoliopsida; Solanales; Solanaceae.